Molecule: ribosomal RNA, 497 nt
Filed under: uncultured bacterium
Lineage: Bacteria
Description: partial 16S ribosomal RNA
Rfam family: Bacterial small subunit ribosomal RNA
Source: RNAcentral
GAUGAACGCUGGCGGCGUGCCUAAUACAUGCAAGUCGAGCGAACGGACGAGAAGCUUGCUUCUCUGAUGUUAGCGGCGGACGGGUGAGUAACACGUGGAUAACCUACCUAUAAGACUGGGAUAACUUCGGGUAACCGGAGCUAAUACCGGAUGAUAUUUUGAACCGCAUGGUUCAAAAGUGAAAGACGGUCUUGCUGUCACUUAUAGAUGGAUCCGCGCUGCAUUAGCUAGUUGGUAAGGUAACGGCUUACCAAGGCAACGAUGCAUAGCCGACCUGAGAGGGUGAUCGGCCACACUGGAACUGAGACACGGUCCAGACUCCUACGGGAGGCAGCAGUAGGGAAUCUUCCGCAAUGGGCGAAAGCCUGACGGAGCAACGCCGCGUGAGUGAUGAAGGUCUUCGGAUCGUAAAACUCUGUUAUUAGGGAAGAACAUAUGUGUAAGUAACUGUGCACAUCUUGACGGUACCUAAUCAGAAAGCCACGGCUAACUACGUG